This 262-nucleotide ribosomal RNA is filed under the name uncultured archaeon. RNAcentral describes it as "partial 16S ribosomal RNA". It matches the Rfam family "Archaeal small subunit ribosomal RNA", at positions 748 to 1009 of the family's 1478-position model. The record is from RNAcentral.
CAGCUGUAAACUAUGUGCGUUAGGUGUGUCAGUGACCACGUGUCACUGAGGUGCCGAAGGGAAACCGUGAAACGCACCGCCUGGGGAGUACGGUCGCAAGGCUGAAACUUAAAGGAAUUGGCGGGGGGAGCACCACAACGGGUGGAGCCUGCGGUUUAAUCGGACUCAACGCCGGGAAUCUCACCGGGACCGACAGCAACAUGAAGGCCAAGCUGAAGACUUUGCCGGACUAGCUGAGAGGAGGUGCAUGGCGUAGUCGUGU